AGCGAACGCUAGCGGCGGGCUUAACACAUGCAAGUCGAGCGCAUCUCCUUCGGGAGGUGAGCGGCGAACGGGUGAGUAACACGUAGGUAACGUACCCUCUGGUGGGGAAUAACCCAGGGAAACUUGGGCUAAUACCGCAUGUGCCCUUCGGGGUGAAAGACUUCGGUUGCCAGAAGAUCGGCCUGCGGCCCAUUAUUUAAUCCUAGUUGGUAGGGUAACGGCCUACCAAGGGUACGAUGGGUAGCUGGUCUGAGAGGAUGAUCAGCCACACUGGGACUGAGACACGGCCCAGACUCCUACGGGAGGCAGCAGUGGGGAAUAUUGGACAAUGGGCGAAAGCCUGAUCCAGCCACGCCGCGUGAGUGAUGAAGGCCUUCGGGUUGUAAAGCUCUGUCGGGAGGGACGAAGUACUGACGGUACCUCCCAAGAAAGCGCCGGCUAACUCCGUGCCAGCAGCCGCGGUAAUGUAGUCGUG
This 475-nucleotide ribosomal RNA is filed under the name uncultured bacterium. Its description in RNAcentral is "bacterial SSU rRNA". It matches the Rfam family "Bacterial small subunit ribosomal RNA", at positions 29 to 534 of the family's 1533-position model. The record is from RNAcentral.